Molecule: ribosomal RNA, 274 nt
Filed under: uncultured bacterium
Lineage: Bacteria
Description: partial 16S ribosomal RNA
Rfam family: Bacterial small subunit ribosomal RNA
Source: RNAcentral
AUACGGAGGGUGCAAGCGUUACUCGGAAUCACUGGGCGUAAAGCGCGCGCAGGCGGCUUGAUAAGUUGGAUGUGAAAGCCUACGGCUCAACCGUAGAACUGCAUCCAAAACUGUCAGGCUAGAGUGUGGGAGAGGAAGAUGGAAUUAGUUGUGUAGGGGUAAAAUCCGUAGAGAUAACUAGGAAUACCAAAAGCGAAGGCAAUCUUCUGGAACACUACUGACGCUGAGGCGCGAAGGCGUGGGGAGCAAACAGGAUUAGAUACCCUGGUAGUCC